Molecule: ribosomal RNA, 809 nt
Filed under: uncultured bacterium
Lineage: Bacteria
Description: bacterial SSU rRNA
Rfam family: Bacterial small subunit ribosomal RNA
Source: RNAcentral
CAAGUCGAACGCAGUAGCAAUACUGAGUGGCAGACGGGUGAGUAACAUGUGGGAAUCUGCCUUGUGGUUCAGGACAACAUUGGGAAACCGAUGCUAAUACUGGAUAAGCCCUUACGGGGAAAGUUUUAAUGCCAUAAGAUGAGCCCGCAUUUGAUUAGUUAGUUGGUGAGGUAAUGGCUCACCAAGACAAUGAUCAAUAGCUGAUCUGAGAGGAUGAUCAGCCACACUGGGACUGAGACACGGCCCAGACCCCUACGGGAGGCAGCAGUGGGGAAUCUUGCACAAUGGAGGAAACUCUGAUGCAGCGAUGCCGCGUGAGUGAAGAAGGCCUUUGGGUUGUAAAGCUCUUUUGUAGGGGAAGAUAAUGACUGUACCCUAAGAAUAAGGUCCGGCUAACUUCGUGCCAGCAGCCGCGGUAAUACGAAGGGACCUAGCGUAGUUCGGAAUUACUGGGCGUAAAGCGCGCGUAGGCCGUUGAGUUAGUUAAUUGUGAAAUCCCAAAGCUUAACUUUGGAACUGCAAUUAAAACUGCUCGACUAGAGUUUGAUAGAGGAAAGCGGAAUACAUAGUGUAGAGGUGAAAUUCGUAGAUAUUAUGUAGAACACCAGUUGCGAAGGCGGCUUUCUGGAUCAACACUGACGCUGAGGCGCGAAAGUACGGGUAGCAAAGAGGAUUAGAUACCCUCGUAGUCCAUACCAUAAACGAUGAUUGCUAGAUGUUGGAAAUUUAUUUUCAGUAUCGCAGCUAACGCAUUAAGCAAUCCGCCUGGGGAGUACGACCGCAAGGUUAAAACUCAAAUGAAUUGACGG